AAAUUAGUGCUAGAAAAAAUUAAGUAGUUUAAUGUUCUUGAAAAUUAAGAAGAAUGGCGGUAUUUUAGUCUUUUCAGAGGAACCUGUUCUGUAAUUGAUAGUCCACGAUUUUUGUUACUUUUUUUCUAAAUUUAUAUAUCGCUGUGAUGGAAUAUUUUUUUUGAAGGUAAAUAUUCAAAAUUUUUAGAAAAAAGAAUUCAGGUCAAGAUGUAGUUUAUAAAAAAGAAGAAAUGGGUUACAAUAAUUGAAAUUUUUGGAAAAAUUUUUUAAAAGAAUUUUAAAAUUGGAUUUGAGAGUAAUUUUAUAUAAUUAAUGUAAAAUGAUUUUAGAUCUAAAAU
This 338-nucleotide ribosomal RNA is filed under the name Ips perturbatus. RNAcentral's name for it is "partial 12S small subunit ribosomal RNA". Lineage: Eukaryota; Metazoa; Arthropoda; Insecta; Coleoptera; Curculionidae. The record is from RNAcentral.